AUUGAACGCUGGCGGCAGGCCUAACACAUGCAAGUCGAGCGGAUGAAGGGAGCUUGCUCCUGGAUUCAGCGGCGGACGGGUGAGUAAUGCCUAGGAAUCUGCCUGGGAGUGGGGGAUAACGUCCGGAAACGGGCGCUAAUACCGCAUACGUCCUGAGGGAGAAAGUGGGGGAUCUUCGGACCUCACGCUAUCAGAUGAGCCUAGGUCGGAUUAGCUAGUUGGUGGGGUAAAGGCCUACCAAGGCGACGAUCCGUAACUGGUCUGAGAGGAUGUUCAGUCACACUGGAACUGAGACACGGUCCAGACUCCUACGGGAGGCAGCAGUGGGGAAUAUUGGACAAUGGGCGAAAGCCUGCUCCAGCCAUGCCGCGUGUGUGAAGAAGGUCUUCGGAUUGUAAAGCACUUUAAGUUGGGAGGAAGGGCAGUAAGUUAAUACCUUGCUGUUUUGACGUUACCAACAGAAUAAGCACCGGCUAACUUCGUG
RNAcentral lists this ribosomal RNA (484 nucleotides) under uncultured bacterium. RNAcentral describes it as "partial 16S ribosomal RNA". It matches the Rfam family "Bacterial small subunit ribosomal RNA", at positions 30 to 507 of the family's 1533-position model. The record is from RNAcentral.